This 537-nucleotide long non-coding RNA is filed under the name Androctonus crassicauda. The record is from RNAcentral. Lineage: Eukaryota; Metazoa; Arthropoda; Arachnida; Scorpiones; Buthidae.
AGUACUGAUGAGGGGCUUUAUCCAUAGCCUGAAAACGUUAUACCAUAGUAAAAAAGUUUUCUUUGCUUAUUGAGUUUGUUUUCUUUUAUAUCUAGCAUUCCCUGUGAAAUGGCCAGUCUAUUUGCCUGAUCUCAGUCCAUAUGACUUUUGAUUGUGGGAAUGUUUAAAAAACUUGGUUUACCAAAGAUAAGUGGACAAUUUAACUAUUUUGAAAGGCUGAUUAAUGCUUCAUAUUUAAAAAAUUUGUGGAAAUUUUGCUGUGUUUCACAAUGGAAAAUGUGCAAGGGCAGCAUAUUGAACUGUAACUGUAAACAAGUCAGAAAAAAAACUAUUGUCAACUAUAAUCUCUUAUUUUCUUUUAUGAUUUCUUCUUAACUCUGCAUACAGCAGCAUUUUCUCUACUGGUGGUGCAUUUCAAUACUAUUUAUCGAAAUCAAAUUUCCAUAAAUUUCCAUACAUCACAUUUGGCUGAGUUUGACCCAACAGAUUCUUGGCUAUCGGGCUAUAAAUUCCUCCUCUUUAAUUAUGGCCACCCUG